RNAcentral lists this ribosomal RNA (253 nucleotides) under uncultured bacterium. Its description in RNAcentral is "partial 16S ribosomal RNA". It matches the Rfam family "Bacterial small subunit ribosomal RNA", at positions 524 to 776 of the family's 1533-position model. The record is from RNAcentral.
UACGGAGGGUGCAAGCGUUGUCCGGAUUUAUUGGGUUUAAAGGGUGCGUAGGCGGUCUUUUAAGUGAGCGGUGAAAUCCUCCAGCUUAACUGGAGAACUGCCAUUGAUACUGGAAGACUUGAGUACAGACGAGGUAGGCGGAAUUGACAGUGUAGCGGUGAAAUGCAUAGAUAUUGUCAAGAACACCGAUUGCGAAGGCAGCUUACUAGACUGUAACUGACGCUGAGGCACGAAAGUGUGGGGAUCAAACAGG